Molecule: transfer RNA, 63 nt
Filed under: Microvirga vignae
Lineage: Bacteria; Pseudomonadati; Pseudomonadota; Alphaproteobacteria; Hyphomicrobiales; Methylobacteriaceae
Description: tRNA-Ser
Source: RNAcentral
GCGGGCCUGUAUGCUAGCUUCCCAAGCUGAAUGUCGUGGGUUCGAUUCCCAUCGCCCGCUCCA